Molecule: ribosomal RNA, 301 nt
Filed under: uncultured bacterium
Lineage: Bacteria
Description: partial 16S ribosomal RNA
Rfam family: Bacterial small subunit ribosomal RNA
Source: RNAcentral
CAGUAGCCACGGUAAUACGAAGGGGGCUAGCGUUGUUCGGAAUUACUGGGCGUAAAGCGCACGUAGGCGGAUAUUUAAGUCAGGGGUGAAAUCCCGCAGCUCAACUGCGGAACUGCCUUUGAUACUGGGUAUCUUGAGUAUGGAAGAGGUUAGUGGAAUUGCGAGUGUAGAGGUGAAAUUCGUAGAUAUUCGCAGGAGCACCAGUGGCGAAGGCGGCUAACUGGUCCAUAACUGACGCUGAGGUGCGAAAGCGUGGGGAGCAAACAGGAUUAGAUACCCGGGUAGUCCCUGUCUCUUAUAC